RNAcentral lists this ribosomal RNA (253 nucleotides) under uncultured bacterium. RNAcentral's name for it is "partial 16S ribosomal RNA". It matches the Rfam family "Bacterial small subunit ribosomal RNA", at positions 524 to 776 of the family's 1533-position model. The record is from RNAcentral.
UACGUAGGGACCAAGCGUUGUUCGGAUUUACUGGGCGUAAAGGGCGCGUAGGCGGCGUGACAAGUCACUUGUGAAAUCUCUGAGCUUAACCCAGAACGGCCAAGUGAAACUGUCGUGCUAGAGUGCAGAAGGGGCAAUCGGAAUUCUUGGUGUAGCGGUGAAAUGCGUAGAUAUCAAGAGGAACACCUGAGGUGAAGACGGGUUGCUGGGCUGACACUGACGCUGAUGCGCGAAAGCCAGGGGAGCAAACGGG